Molecule: long non-coding RNA, 750 nt
Filed under: Lathyrus oleraceus (garden pea)
Lineage: Eukaryota; Viridiplantae; Streptophyta; Magnoliopsida; Fabales; Fabaceae
Description: Pisum sativum (pea) long non-coding RNA (PSAT_LNC026487)
Source: RNAcentral
UAUACUUCACUAUUUUUAAAGCCUUUAAAGUGAAAACUCAUAACUAAGCACUUCAAGUCAAGGAAAUUAUUCAGUGUCCUCAGAUUACCUUGUGGAUCAAGUGCAAUACUUAUGGCUCGAUUAUAAUCAAUAUUGUCCUUUCAUCUUGUGCAUUCAUUUUUAGAAUAAGGAAUUAAGACUUCAUUGGAUUCUUUAUUGCCAACCUUGGUUUCCAAAAUUCACUUUAUGCAGAACUUAUGGGCUUCAUGCUUUCCAUUGAAAAUGCUCGAGAUAGGAACUGGAAUUUUCUUUGUAUAGAAUCUGAUUUAAAAAUUGCAACCUUGGAUUACAAUAACCCUCAUAUUGUCCCUCGAUAUAUUUGUAAUAUAUGGUGUAAUUGUAUUUCCAUUGUUCAACUCAUUUAUGCUUACACACAUAUUUAGGGAGGGAAAUCAGUGUGUUGAUACUCUUUCAAAAAUUGGCCUUUCUCUUUCGAUCUUUACUUGGUGGAACACUCUCCCAUUGUUAUUAAGAGAGAGUUAAUAUUGAACAAGUUAGGAAUACCUAACUUUAGAUUUUUUUAACUUGUAUUGCUUCCUUCAUGUUUGCUUGAGGACCAGGCUUCCUUCUUGUUUGAUUAGGAGGUGCUUAACUCAAACAAUCAAUGGGUAAUUUUUCUUAGAAGUCGGGUUAUCAAAAAAAUUAUUGCACUAGGUACCAUAUCUACUCAUCCAUUUGGAGUGGUAUCAAGUCAAACCCUUAUGUCCAACU